Molecule: ribosomal RNA, 440 nt
Filed under: uncultured bacterium
Lineage: Bacteria
Description: partial 16S ribosomal RNA
Rfam family: Bacterial small subunit ribosomal RNA
Source: RNAcentral
CUACGGGGUGCUGCAGUGAGGAAUAUUGCACAAUGGGCGAAAGCCUGAUGCAGCAACGCCGCGUGGGUGAUGAAGGCCUUCGGGUUGUAAAACCCUUUUCUGGGGGACGAGGAAGGACGGUACCUCAGGAAUAAGCCUCGGCUAACUACGUGCCAGCAGCCGCGGUAAAACGUAGGAGGCGAGCGUUAUUCGGAUUUACUGGGCGUAAAGCGCGUGCAGGCGGUUCUGUAAGUUGGAGGUUAAAUCUCUCGGCUCAACUGAGAGGCGUCCUUCAAAACUGCAGGGCUUGAGGAUGGGAGAGGGAAGUGGAAUUCCCGGUGUAGUGGUGGAAUGCGUAGAUAUCGGGAGGAACACCAGUGGCGAAGGCGGCUUCCUGGCCCAUACCUGACGCUAAGACGCGAAAGCGUGGGGAGCGAACGGGAUUAGAUACCCCGGUAGUC